CCUACGGGAGGCAGCAGUGGGGAAUAUUGCGCAAUGGGGGCAACCCUGACGCAGCCAUGCCGCGUGUGUGAAGAAGGCCCUAGGGUUGUAAAGCACUUUCAAUUGGGAAGAAAGGUUGUAGGUUAAUAACCUGCAGCUGUGACAUUACCUUUAGAAGAAGCACCGGCUAACUCCGUGCCAGCAGCCGCGGUAAU
RNAcentral lists this ribosomal RNA (194 nucleotides) under uncultured bacterium. RNAcentral describes it as "partial 16S ribosomal RNA". It matches the Rfam family "Bacterial small subunit ribosomal RNA", at positions 338 to 524 of the family's 1533-position model. The record is from RNAcentral.